This 472-nucleotide long non-coding RNA is filed under the name Citrus sinensis (sweet orange). RNAcentral's name for it is "long non-coding RNA (CSIN_LNC004050)". The record is from RNAcentral. Lineage: Eukaryota; Viridiplantae; Streptophyta; Magnoliopsida; Sapindales; Rutaceae.
AGAUCCCUACAUCAUCAUUAAAUUUGUUUGGUGAGAAGCUGAUGAUUAGUUAGCACCAUGAGUAGAUUUUCAAUGAGCAGAUGUUCUGUGAGCAGACAACCCAUGAGCAGACAAUUCAUGAGUAGCACCAUGAGUAGAUUUUCAAUGAGCAGAUGUUCUGUGAGCAGACAACCCAUGAGCAGACAAUCCAUGAACAGACGAUCCAUAAGCAGAGAACUCAUGAGCAGACAAACAUAUGAGCAGAUAACCCGUGAGCAGACGAUCCAUGAGCAGAUAACCCAUGAGCAGACGAUCCAUAAGCAGAUAACCUGUGAGCCUGUGGACACAACCAACAGUCAGGAGGUGCCGGAAGUUUUUCCGGCGAGAACCCUCCGACGCUCAAGUCAGCGAUUCGGGUCUUAUUUGGAAAAACCCAUACCACAAUUCAUGUGGCUUAAUUAUGAUUGCCUUAAACAAAAAGCUUUUAAGUAAA